Molecule: long non-coding RNA, 310 nt
Filed under: Solanum tuberosum (potato)
Lineage: Eukaryota; Viridiplantae; Streptophyta; Magnoliopsida; Solanales; Solanaceae
Description: long non-coding RNA (STUB_LNC008889)
Source: RNAcentral
UUGUGUUGUAAAAUAUAAGCAAUAUACUAUUAGAAAUAUAGACAAAAGAUACGAGGAGUAGAAUGUAGAGAACAUCGUAUUCAAAUAUCUUCAAGUCUCUUUACAAUGGUGAAAGAACAACCUUAUUUAUAGGUUAAGAAAUCACUCCAAAGGUCACCAUAUUAAGUUUCAUAAUAAAUAGAUUCAUUCUUAUCCAAAAAGGUUCAUAUCACCUAGGGAAUACACAUAGAUGAUAAAUAUAAGUUUAUGGAUAAACUCAAUGGACAAUCCAUUAGUUCAACGGAUUAAUAACAACUCCCCUUGGAUAUCC